ACGCUCGACACCUACGGGAAGCAGUAGUGGGGAAUAUUGCACAAUGGGGGAAACCCUGAUGCAGCGACGCCGCGUGAAGGAAGAAGUAUCUCGGUAUGUAAACUUCUAUCAGCAGGGAAGAAAAUGACGGUACCUGACUAAGAAGCCCCGGCUAACUACGUGCCAGUAGCCGCGGUAAUCUGAGCGGGCUGGCAAGGC
This 198-nucleotide ribosomal RNA is filed under the name uncultured bacterium. RNAcentral describes it as "partial 16S ribosomal RNA". It matches the Rfam family "Bacterial small subunit ribosomal RNA", at positions 326 to 539 of the family's 1533-position model. The record is from RNAcentral.